CGCCUCCUGCAAAAAUCAACGUAUAAGAGGUCCUACCUGCCCAGUGACUAAGUUAAACGGCCGCGGUAUUUUGACCGUGCAAAGGUAGCGCAAUCACUUGUCUUUUAAAUAAAGACCUGUAUGAAUGGUGAAACGAGGGCUUAACUGUCUCCCUUUUCUAAUCAGUGAAAUUGAUCUGCCCGUGCAGAAGCGGGUAUAAAUAUACAAGACGAGAAGACCCUAUGGAGCUUUAGACAUAAAGCCAUCUAUGUUAAAAAUCCCUUAUAAAAGGAGCAAAACAAAAUAGUAACUGGCCAACGUCUUCGGUUGGGGCGACCACGGGGAAAAGCAAAUCCCCCACGUGGAACGGGAAAACCUCCUAAAACCACGAGGUACACCUCUAAGUCACAGUAUUUCUGACCAAAGGAUCCGGCACUUAGCCGAUCAACGAACCAAGUUACCCUAGGGAUAACAGCGCAAUCCCCUUCGAGAGUCCUUAUCGACAAGGGGGUUUACGACCUCGAUGUUGGAUCAGGACAUCCUAAUGGUGCAGCCGCUAUUAAGGGUUCGUUUGUUCAACGAUUAAAGUCCU
This 571-nucleotide ribosomal RNA is filed under the name Gymnocorymbus ternetzi (black tetra). RNAcentral describes it as "partial 16S ribosomal RNA". It matches the Rfam family "Bacterial large subunit ribosomal RNA", at positions 1816 to 2597 of the family's 2925-position model. Lineage: Eukaryota; Metazoa; Chordata; Actinopteri; Characiformes; Acestrorhamphidae. The record is from RNAcentral.